GAGUGGCGGACGGGUGAGUAACACGUGGGUAACCUGCCCUAAAGUGGGGGAUAACAUUUGGAAACAGAUGCUAAUACCGCAUAAAACCUAGCACCGCAUGGUGCAAGGUUGAAAGAUGGUUUCGGCUAUCACUUUAGGAUGGACCCGCGGUGCAUUAGUUAGUUGGUGAGGUAAAGGCUCACCAAGACCGUGAUGCAUAGCCGACCUGAGAGGGUAAUCGGCCACACUGGGACUGAGACACGGCCCAGACUCCUACGGGAGGCAGCAGUAGGGAAUCUUCCACAAUGGACGAAAGUCUGAUGGAGCAACGCCGCGUGAGUGAAGAAGGUUUUCGGAUCGUAAAACUCUGUUGUUGGAGAAGAACGUAUUUGAUAGUAACUGAUCAGGUAGUGACGGUAUCCAACCAGAAAGCCACGGCUAACUACGUGCCAGCAGCCGCGGUAAUACGUAGGUGGCAAGCGUUGUCCGGAUUUAUUGGGCGUAAAGCGAGCGCAGGCGGUUUCUUAAGUCUGAUGUGAAAGCCUUCGGCUCAACCGAAGAAGUGCAUCGGAAACUGGGAAACUUGAGUGCAGAAGAGGACAGUGGAACUCCAUGUGUAGCGGUGAAAUGCGUAGAUAUAUGGAAGAACACCAGUGGCGAAGGCGGCUGUCUGGUCUGUAACUGACGCUGAGGCUCGAAAGCAUGGGUAGCAAACAGGAUUAGAUACCCUGGUAGUCCAUGCCGUAAACGAUGAGUGCUAGGUGUUGGAGGGUUUCCGCCCUUCAGUGCCGCAGCUAACGCAUUAAGCACUCCGCCUGGGGAGUACGACCGCAAGGUUGAAACUCAAAGGAAUUGACGGGGGCCCGCACAAGCGGUGGAGCAUGUGGUUUAAUUCGAAGCAACGCGAAGAACCUUACCAGGUCUUGACAUCCUUUGACCACUCUAGAGAUAGAGCUUUCCCUUCGGGGACAAAGUGACAGGUGGUGCAUGGUUGUCGUCAGCUCGUGUCGUGAGAUGUUGGGUUAAGUCCCGCAACGAGCGCAACCCUUAUUACUAGUUGCCAGCAUUUAGUUGGGCACUCUAGUGAGACUGCCGGUGACAAACCGGAGGAAGGUGGGGACGACGUCAAAUCAUCAUGCCCCUUAUGACCUGGGCUACACACGUGCUACAAUGGAUGGUACAACGAGUCGCGAGACCGCGAGGUUUAGCUAAUCUCUUAAAACCAUUCUCAGUUCGGAUUGUAGGCUGCAACUCGCCUACAUGAAGCCGGAAUCGCUAGUAAUCGCGGAUCAGCAUGCCGCGGUGAAUACGUUCCCGGGCCUUGUACACACCGCCCGUCACACCAUGAGAGUUUGUAACACCCAAAGCCGGUGAGGUAACCUUCGGGAGCCAGCCGUCUAA
RNAcentral lists this ribosomal RNA (1380 nucleotides) under Latilactobacillus curvatus. RNAcentral's name for it is "Lactobacillus curvatus 16S ribosomal RNA". It matches the Rfam family "Bacterial small subunit ribosomal RNA", at positions 93 to 1460 of the family's 1533-position model. The record is from RNAcentral. Lineage: Bacteria; Bacillati; Bacillota; Bacilli; Lactobacillales; Lactobacillaceae.